This 203-nucleotide long non-coding RNA is filed under the name Elaeis guineensis (African oil palm). Its description in RNAcentral is "long non-coding RNA (EGUI_LNC056542)". Lineage: Eukaryota; Viridiplantae; Streptophyta; Magnoliopsida; Arecales; Arecaceae. The record is from RNAcentral.
CGAUCGAACGAGGUUCGAUCCUAAGUAUGGGUUCAUAUACAGUACUAGGAUUUUGGGGGGUUGGAGCUGAUGAACUUCUAGAACCGCUAGAGGAGGAAGUGUUGGAGGAUAUUUUGAAUCAAAUGAAAAUCUCAAAAAAAUUAGAAAAAAUAGGAAACAAGGCGGUCGUGGAGAAACUGAAUGGGUAGAAUGCAGAGGAGGAA